AUUGAACGCUGGCGGCAUGCCUUACACAUGCAAGUCGAACGGUAACAGGUCUUCGGAUGCUGACGAGUGGCGAACGGGUGAGUAAUACAUCGGAACGUGCCUAGUAGUGGGGGAUAACUACUCGAAAGAGAGGCUAAUACCGCAUGAGAUCUACGGAUGAAAGCAGGGGAUCGCAAGACCUUGUGCUACUAGAGCGGCCGAUGGCAGAUUAGGUAGUUGGUGGGAUAAAAGCUUACUAAGCCGACGAUCUGUAGCUGGUCUGAGAGGACGAUCAGCCACACUGGGACUGAGACACGGCCCAGACUCCUACGGGAGGCAGCAGUGGGGAAUUUUGGACAAUGGGCGAAAGCCUGAUCCAGCAAUGCCGCGUGCAGGAUGAAGGCCUUCGGGUUGUAAACUGCUUUUGUACGGAACGAAAAGCCCCGGGUUAAUACCCUGGGGUCAUGACGGUACCGUAAGAAUAAGCACCGGCUAACUACGUGCCAGCCGCCGCGGUAA
This 498-nucleotide ribosomal RNA is filed under the name uncultured bacterium. RNAcentral describes it as "partial 16S ribosomal RNA". It matches the Rfam family "Bacterial small subunit ribosomal RNA", at positions 30 to 523 of the family's 1533-position model. The record is from RNAcentral.